GACGAACGCUGGCGGCGUGCUUAACACAUGCAAGUCGAACGGAAAGGCCCUGCUUUUGUGGGGUGCUCGAGUGGCGAACGGGUGAGUAACACGUGAGUAACCUGCCCUUGACUUUGGGAUAACUUCAGGAAACUGGGGCUAAUACCGGAUAGGAGCUCCUGCUGCAUGGUGGGGGUUGGAAAGUUUCGGCGGUUGGGGAUGGACUCGCGGCUUAUCAGCUUGUUGGUGGGGUAGUGGCUUACCAAGGCUUUGACGGGUAGCCGGCCUGAGAGGGUGACCGGCCACAUGGGGACUGAGAUACGGCCCAGACUCCUACGGGAGGCAGCAGUGGGGAAUAUUGCACAAUGGGCGGAGGCCGGAUGCAGAAACGCCGCGUGCGGGAGGACGGCCUUCGGGUGGUAAACCGCUUUCGCCUGUGACGAAGCGUGAGUGACGGUAAUGGGUAAAGAAGCACCGGCUAACUACGU
RNAcentral lists this ribosomal RNA (467 nucleotides) under uncultured bacterium. RNAcentral describes it as "partial 16S ribosomal RNA". It matches the Rfam family "Bacterial small subunit ribosomal RNA", at positions 28 to 506 of the family's 1533-position model. The record is from RNAcentral.